RNAcentral lists this transfer RNA (71 nucleotides) under Loxodonta africana (African savanna elephant). It matches the Rfam family "tRNA". From Rfam's summary of the family: Transfer RNA (tRNA) molecules are approximately 80 nucleotides in length. Their secondary structure includes four short double-helical elements and three loops (D, anti-codon, and T loops). The record is from Rfam by way of RNAcentral. Lineage: Eukaryota; Metazoa; Chordata; Mammalia; Proboscidea; Elephantidae.
AUAUUGGUGGUUCACUGGUAGAAUUCUCACCUUCCACGUAGGAGACCCAGAUUUGAUUCCUGGCCAAUACA